UACGUAGGGGGCAAGCGUUGUCCGGAAUUAUUGGGCGUAAAGAGCGCGUAGGCGGUCCGGUAAGUCGGCUGUGAAAGUCAAGGGCUCAACCCUUGAAAGCCGGCCGAUACUGUCGGACUAGAGUCCGGAAGAGGCGAGUGGAAUUCCCGGUGUAGCGGUGAAAUGCGCAGAUAUCGGGAGGAACACCAAUGGCGAAGGCAGCUCUCUGGGACGGUACUGACGCUGAGACGCGAAAGCGUGGGGAGCGAACAGG
RNAcentral lists this ribosomal RNA (253 nucleotides) under uncultured bacterium. RNAcentral describes it as "partial 16S ribosomal RNA". It matches the Rfam family "Bacterial small subunit ribosomal RNA", at positions 524 to 776 of the family's 1533-position model. The record is from RNAcentral.